AUUCUGCCCAUGCGGGGGAGGAUGAGAAGCUUCGACCAAGGUUCGACUCGAGCGCCAGCGAGAGAGCGUUGCCGCAGGCAACGACCCGAAGGGCGAAGCGCGCAGCGCUGAGUAAUCCUUCCCCCACCACCA
This 132-nucleotide small RNA is filed under the name Escherichia coli. RNAcentral describes it as "RtT sRNA". It matches the Rfam family "RtT RNA". From Rfam's summary of the family: This family represents a bacterial cis-regulatory element known as RtT RNA. The exact function of RtT is unknown although it is thought that it may be involved in changing the cellular response in relation to amino acid starvation. Lineage: Bacteria; Pseudomonadati; Pseudomonadota; Gammaproteobacteria; Enterobacterales; Enterobacteriaceae. The record is from RNAcentral.